GAGAGUUAAACAGUACGUGAAAUUGUUGAAAGGGAAACGAUUGAAGCCAGUCGUACCUUCGGGUAAUCAGCCUUUCGGGUGCGAUUAUGUGGAGUGUGAGGAGCUUAAACACCUUCAUGUUUUGCAUAUUCGUACUCUUGGGUGUACUUGCCCGUGUGGUUGGUUAACAUCAAUUUUGGUGGUCAUAAAAUGACUGGAGGAAUGUAGCUUCGAUCUCGUAUUGAAGUGUUAUAGCCUUCGGUAGAUGUGAUGAUCGAGAUUGAGGAUUGCAACGGAUACCCUUCGGGGCUACCUGUCUGGUCUCUGAUCGUUGCUCUGGUGCCGAAAGCUUGCUUACGAUUAUCAAAGUCGAUGGUCAAUAGGUUAGAACGGGUUAAAUUCGUUAAGGAUGUUGACGUAAUGGCUUUAAACGA
This 413-nucleotide ribosomal RNA is filed under the name uncultured Rhizophagus. RNAcentral describes it as "partial 28S ribosomal RNA". The record is from RNAcentral. Lineage: Eukaryota; Fungi; Glomeromycota; Glomeromycetes; Glomerales; Glomeraceae.